UGGGGAAUCUUGCACAAUGGGGGAAACCCUGAUGCAGCGACGCCGCGUGAACGAUGAAGCCCUUCGGGGUGUAAAGUUCUUUCGACAGGAACGAUAAUGACGGUACCUGGAGAAGAAGCUGCGGCUAACUACGUGCCAGCAGCCGCGGUAAUACGUAGGCAGCGAGCGUUGUUCGGAGUUACUGGGCGUAAAGAGUGCGUAGGCGGCGAGCCAAGUUUGGUGUGAAAUCUCCCGGCUUAACCGGGAGGGUGCGCCGAAAACUGGUUGGCUGGAGUAUGGGAGAGGAAAGCGGAAUUCCUGGUGUAGCGGUGAAAUGCGUAGAUAUCAGGAAGAACACCUGCGGUGUAGACAGCUUUCUGGACCAAAACUGACGCUGAGGCACGAAAGCGUGGGUAGCAAACA
This 402-nucleotide ribosomal RNA is filed under the name uncultured bacterium. RNAcentral describes it as "bacterial SSU rRNA". It matches the Rfam family "Bacterial small subunit ribosomal RNA", at positions 355 to 774 of the family's 1533-position model. The record is from RNAcentral.